AUGACUAUAGUCUUGGUAGGUGACUUCAGACAAAUCCUACCGGCUAUACCAAUGGGGAAAAGGGAAUGUAUUUGUUUCCGCAUAUAUAAAGAGAUCCUACCUAUUGAAGAACUUUCAGGCCGACUCACAAAAAAUAUGUGUCUGAAUUCAUCUGAAGGUAGUCCAGUAAAGAAAGCAAAGACGGCGGAAUUUCCAAGCUGGAUGCAAAACAUCAGCAAUGGCGCAGCAACAACAACAAAUGAAGAAGAUUGGAUUAGCAUCCCAGAAGACCUUAUUUUACAUGAAGGAGAUAACCCCAAAGCAUCCAUUGUUAAUAGCAUCUAA
This 324-nucleotide ribosomal RNA is filed under the name Triticum aestivum (bread wheat). Its description in RNAcentral is "partial small subunit ribosomal RNA". Lineage: Eukaryota; Viridiplantae; Streptophyta; Magnoliopsida; Poales; Poaceae. The record is from RNAcentral.